Molecule: ribosomal RNA, 107 nt
Filed under: Panthera pardus (leopard)
Lineage: Eukaryota; Metazoa; Chordata; Mammalia; Carnivora; Felidae
Source: RNAcentral
GUCUACGGCCAUACCACCCUGAACGCGCCCGAUCUCGUCUGAUCUCAGAAGCUAAGCAGGGUCGGGCCUGGUUAGUACUUGGAUGGGAGAAGUAAACAAGAUAGACA